GAUGAACGCUAGCGGGAGGCCUAACACAUGCAAGCCGAGCGGUAGAAUCUUUUCGGAGAUUUGAGAGCGGCGUACGGGUGAGGAACACGUGUGCAACCUGCCUUUAUCUGGGAGAUAGCCUUUCGAAAGGAAGAUUAAUAUCCCAUAAUAUAUUGAGUGGCAUCACUUAAUAUUGAAAGCUCCGGCGGAUAGAGAUGGGCACGCGCAAGAUUAGAUAGUUGGUGAGGUAACGGCUCACCAAGUCUACGAUCUUUAGGGGGCCUGAGAGGGUGAUCCCCCACACUGGAACUGAGACACGGACCAGACUCCUACGGGAGGCAGCAGUGAGGAAUAUUGGACAAUGGGUGCAAGCCUGAUCCAGCCAUCCCGCGUGAAGGAUUAAGGUCCUAUGGAUUGUAAACUUCUUUUAUACAGGGAUAAACCUCUCCUCGUGAGGAGAGCUGAAGGUACUGUAUGAAUAAGCACCGGCUAACUCCGUGCCAGCAGCCGCGGUAA
Molecule: ribosomal RNA, 495 nt
Filed under: uncultured bacterium
Lineage: Bacteria
Description: partial 16S ribosomal RNA
Rfam family: Bacterial small subunit ribosomal RNA
Source: RNAcentral